CCCGCACAAGCAGUGGAGUAUGUGGUUUAAUUCGAAGCAACGCGAAGAACCUUUACCAGGGCUUGACAUCCCUUGAAGCAGCUAGAGAUAGCUGUGUCCUUCGGGACAAGGAGACAGGUGGUGCAUGGUUGUCGUCAGCUCGUGUCGUGAGAUGUUGGGUUAAGUCCCGCAACGAGCGCAACCCCUGUGGUUAGUUGCCAGCAAGUAGCGUUGGGCACUCUAGCCAGACUGCCGGUGAUAAAUCGGAGGAAGGUGGGGGACGACGUCAAAUCAUCAUGCCCUUUAUGUCCUGGGCUACACACGUACUACAAUGGCCGUUACAACGGGAAGCGAAGGAGCAAUCCGGAGCAAAUCCCUUAAAGGCGGUCCCAGUUCAGAUUGUGGGCUGAAACUCGCCCACAUGAAGGCGGAAUUGCUAGUAAUUGCAGAUCAGCAUGCUGCAGUGAAUACGUUCCCGGGCCUU
Molecule: ribosomal RNA, 463 nt
Filed under: uncultured bacterium
Lineage: Bacteria
Description: bacterial SSU rRNA
Rfam family: Bacterial small subunit ribosomal RNA
Source: RNAcentral